This 253-nucleotide ribosomal RNA is filed under the name uncultured bacterium. Its description in RNAcentral is "partial 16S ribosomal RNA". It matches the Rfam family "Bacterial small subunit ribosomal RNA", at positions 524 to 776 of the family's 1533-position model. The record is from RNAcentral.
GACAGAGGGUGCAAACGUUGUUCGGAAUUACUGGGCGUAAAGGGCUCGUAGGCGGCCAACUAAGUCGGACGUGAAAUCCCUCGGCUUAACCGGGGAACUGCGUCCGAUACUGGAUGGCUUGAGUUCGGGAGAGGGAUGCGGAAUUCCAGGUGUAGCGGUGAAAUGCGUAGAUAUCUGGAGGAAUACCGGUGGCGAAGGCGGCAUCCUGGACCAACACUGACACUGAGGAGCGAAAGCCAGGGGAGCAAACGGG